This is a long non-coding RNA of Tachysurus vachellii, 1572 nucleotides long. RefSeq lists it as uncharacterized. The transcript is spliced from 4 exons. Lineage: Eukaryota; Metazoa; Chordata; Actinopteri; Siluriformes; Bagridae. The record is from RefSeq and is a predicted model, not a curated record.
CAUGUGUCACGUGACCAGAACCGGAUUCUUCAUUUCCUGGGUCUUGUUUGCGUUUAUUUUCUAAGUCGUCAUAACAGUCAGGAAUCAGACAUCUCGGUUUCUCGAUCUACAUUACAUUUCUAUUUCUGUAUGGUUGAGGAGUGAGAACGGCAAAAUGGGCAAUAUACAGGGAAAUGUGCCAGACUCUAAAGUCAAGGCAGAGAAGGAAGCAUUGAGCUUUGGCUGCACAGGAAAUUGUCUGAAGAAGGAUCAACUUGGUCCAGUCCAGGGCAUCAUCUUCACAAAUAAAAAGCUGCAGGCUAUAAUUACAGCUCAAGAGCUCGACUGUCACCAGUUUAGCAUUCAGAGGUUAGAAGACUUCUGAUGGAAGUGGACAUGAAUCAUACCUGUUUCUCUGCGUGUGUGUGUAUAUGUGUAUGUGAGACAGUGUGUGUGUUUGUGUGUGUGUGUGUGAGAGAGAGAGAGAGAGAGAGAGACCAGCAGAUUAGUCAUAAAAUCAGAAAAGUCUGAUGUUUUCUCUUUUUCACCUUUUCUACAUGUCUAAGUGUUUAAAAGAAAGCAUUACUUUAUUUUUGUAUUAUUAUUGUGGGAAAUUUACUUGUCCUAAGUCCAGAUAAAGGGGGAAGGUUGCUUCAGGAAGAAACUUCGGCAUAAAACCUGCACCAAAUGAAAUUAUACAGAUCCACUGUGGGACAAUGUUUUCUAGUUAGACAGUAUUUCUAAAAAUCCAUAGAUAAAUUAUUUUAGCAUCUUACAUGGUCAGAGGAAAUACAUGCUUUGUAUUAUUUUUAGUUUCUCUAUGAUGAAUCAGACUAUUUUCACAGCAAUAAAGCUCUACUUUAUAUUCUAUAGUGAAGUGAACUAUUUAUUAGAAUCCAAUUCAUGCACCUUACAAAACAGCACGAUUCAUAACCUUGUAGUUUCUGAAGCAGUGUGGCUUUUAAUAAUAAUUGAUCAUUUGUUUUGGAUCGAUUACGAUAAACGAACCAAAUAUUGUCAUUAUGAGAUGCAAAAAGGCUUCAUUGAAAAAAUUCCUUUUUAAAAACCUUGACCUUGAAUGUGUCAAUACUGUAUAAUAUGCUUGUAUUAUUAUUAUUAUUAUUAUUAUUAUUAUUAUUACUCUUUAAGCCAAAUUUUAUCAGCUGUUUAAUCAGCUGAUCUUGACAUUCAGCAGACUCAGCCUUGUUUUCUUCCACUCACUCUUCCCUCUAGACUGGUCAAUUAGUACAAGGAAUAUUCCUUUGUUUUGUUUUUUUAUUGAUGAAAUGUUUAUAUGUUAAAAGUUCUAAAUCAUAAAUCUUGAAUUUUCAAAAUUAUAGUGUAAUUCAGGCUAAGUUUUAAUAUGUAUUAUUUAGUCUUUGUUUUGUCUAAAAAGUUAAAUAGAAAUUAAAUUGAAUCGAAUUUAAUCGAAUAUUUACACAAAAACAAUUUUUUAUUUUUUUUAAAAAAAUACAGUAGGUUCAUAUUUCAUCUUAAGUGAUUCGUUGAUUUUUCCAUCUGUACUGACUUCUGAGAAAACACACAAUUGUGAACUGAAGACUACAAGCAGAAAAUAAACAGGUUUUUCUGGUA